Molecule: ribosomal RNA, 776 nt
Filed under: uncultured Neocallimastigales
Lineage: Eukaryota; Fungi; Neocallimastigomycota; Neocallimastigomycetes; Neocallimastigales
Description: partial large subunit ribosomal RNA
Rfam family: Eukaryotic large subunit ribosomal RNA
Source: RNAcentral
CAUAUCAGUCAUGCAUAGCAUAUCAAUAAGCGGAGGAAAAGAAACUAACAAGGAUUCCCUUAGUAACGGCGAGUGAAGCGGGAAGAGCUCAAAUUUGAAAUCUUCAAGGUUCUACCUUGACGAAUUGUAGUUUAUAGAAGUGUUUUCUGUUAGUAGAGUGGCAAAAGUUCUUUGGAAUAGGACAUCAUAGAGGGUGAGAAUCCCGUAGUUUGGUCAUUCUUUCUAGCUUUGUGAUACACUUUCAACGAGUCGGAUUGUUUGGGAAUGCAGUCCAAAAUAGGUGGUAAAUUUCAUCUAAAGCUAAAUAUUGGCGAGAGACCGAUAGCGAACAAGUACCGUGAGGGAAAGAUGAAAAGAACUUUGAAAAGAGAGUUAAACAGUACGUGAAAUUGUCAAAAGGGAAGCGUUUGACACCAGUGUUGUUUUUCCGAAAAUCAAUUACGAAUGUUUUAUUUUUGAGAAGUUAUGACUUCAUCGGCUUGCUUCUCUCUUUACGAAACUUUCUUAAUGCACUUUUCGGUUAACAAGUCAACAUCAAUUUCUUUUGUUGUAAAAGGGUAUGAGGAAGGUGGCUUUCUUUUCGGAGAAAGUGUUUAUAGCCUUGUAGCCUCUGCAAUCGGAGAGAUUGAGGUCUGCAGCGUAGAUCCUUCGGGGUUAGAUACGUUUGUGCUAAGUUAUAGCUUUUCAUAGACAACUUGUUGACUAUGUUAGUCUUGUAGCUUACUCGCUGAUGCUAUUUUACCUACGCUUAGGAUGUUGAUCUCUCACAGUCGAGC